UACUAAACUGCUUGUUUUCUGGUCUCACC
Molecule: non-coding RNA, 29 nt
Filed under: Mus musculus (house mouse)
Lineage: Eukaryota; Metazoa; Chordata; Mammalia; Rodentia; Muridae
Source: RNAcentral